GUAAAAUCUAAGGACUUGUCAAGGGAGGAUAUAAGAACACAUCGUGGUGAUUUGGGUCAGAGAACCUCAGAAAGUAUCAGAAAUUGGAGGCACUAGCUACCUCAGAAAGCAUGAGCAAAGGGUAUGCUGACAGCUGAGAGACUCCCAGAUUCCCAACCUCAUCCUGCGGAGCCAGGCAGGAAAAGCAGUGAAGAUUUGGAAAAAUCGAAUCAAGAUGGGUCUUCAUUUGGAAAUGUCGGGCACAAGUGAAAAACUUCCCUGGUGGUUCAGACAGUGAAGACUCUGUCUACAAUGCAGGAGACCGGGUUCAAUCUCUGGGUUGGGAAGAUCGCCUGGAGAAGGGGAUGGGAACCCACUCCUGUAUUCUUGCCUGGAGAAUUCCAUCGACAGGGGAGCCUGGCGGGCUGCAGUCCAUGGGGCUGUAAGAGUCAGAUAUGACUGAGCGACUAACACUUCCACUUUUUUCAGUAUACUGAAUGGAGACGCUGCCCAGCCCUCUUUCUCUGGACUCCUGGAAUGCUGCCAGCCAGGAUUAUAUCUGCAUAUAGAAGAAGAUCAAAGAAUUUUCCAGAAAGAAACAAGAAAGGCCAGAUAUACCUUUGAUGGCUUUAAGGAAAUUGACAUAGCAUCACCCAACAACCAUCUGUUCUCAUACUUUAAGCCUACUCUCGGAAUCACUGCAAGUAGAGAGGGGAACUCUCUUCAGCGUUAUGUUGGAGUUCUACUUGGUAUCCUCAAGGGAGGCAAAACAUGUAGACCUUGGGAGCUCAUUUUCUGACAGAAUUUGGAACUUACCACUGUGAGAUCCAGGGAAAAUUACUUAACCUCUCUGAGUCUGCUUUCUCAGACUAUUGACUGUGUCUGUAUUGGAAGGAGAUCAUCGUAGUACUUGUUGGGUUUUCUGUGUAAAUGAAAUAAGAUGGUGUCUGUAAAUCACUUAUCUUGACAUGCACUCUGGAGAUCCAAGCUAUUUAUUACAAUCGCCAUAGUUACAUUACAAUUGAUUGGAGUGUGUAUACUUCUGAAGUUCAAUCGUUUUGUCUCCCUUAUGACCUGUACCCUAAGGAAUACCCCAGAAACACCCACAUUCUUGUAGACUCUCCCUUUCUUGAAAUGACUUACCAUCCUAGCCUGACACAGAAUUCAGAAGCAGGAGUCUGCAUGUCACAAAGGAAACCCUGGUAUCCAUGAUGGGAUGGAUGGACGGGGGGAUCUUCAUACUAGCUGCAUGUGUUUAGAUUUUGCAGAACCGCAGACCGUCUGGUAGCCAGAGGUGGUCGUUCCUUUAAUCCUUUCAUCUUUACAUUUUGCUAGUGAUUUCUGAGAGUACAAAACAAGAGAGCUCAAACCAGGGGUCCAUAAGGCAGAUUGUCCACAGGUGUGUGUGAUUUGCACCCAGAAGUGGCCCUGCUUUUUUUAUUAGUUAUCAGCACCAAGUAAAACUCAGACUUCAUUUAUUCUGUGGAUUUCUGAUUCCUGGGCAGAAACUCCUGUGCACACAUUUCUGCAUAGCAACUCCCAGCUGGAACUGAAAAGUAGCUGCCCACCUCACCCCCUUUAGAAGGGAUGUGCUUCCUCCUGUUCCCCUAGCCUCUGCCCUCCUUCCUGACUUAUUUAUGUAACCUGUCUUGUGUCUGGAUGCACUCGAGUUUAUGAUCCCCACACUAAGCCUCUGUGAGCCACAGGAAUGAAUUGCUCAUAGCAGAAGAGAUAUUGAUAGGCUUUCUUGGUGUCCCUAGAAAAAUCACAGUCUGUGAAGCCAAGUACAGGGAUUAAGG
This 1778-nucleotide long non-coding RNA is filed under the name Bos indicus x Bos taurus (hybrid cattle). RNAcentral describes it as "lncRNA (ENSBIXG00000010157.1)". Lineage: Eukaryota; Metazoa; Chordata; Mammalia; Artiodactyla; Bovidae. The record is from RNAcentral.